Molecule: ribosomal RNA, 414 nt
Filed under: uncultured bacterium
Lineage: Bacteria
Description: partial 16S ribosomal RNA
Rfam family: Bacterial small subunit ribosomal RNA
Source: RNAcentral
UGGGGAAUUUUGGACGAAUUGGGCGAAAGGCCUGAAUCCAGCAAUGCCGCGUGUGUGAAGAAGGCCUUCGGGUUGUAAAGCACUUUUGUCCGGAAAGAAAUCCUUGGCUCUAAUACAGUCGGGGGAUGACGGUACCGGAAGAAUAAGCACCGGCUAACUACGUGCCAGCAGCCGCGGUAAUACGUAGGGUGCAAGCGUUAAUCGGAAUUACUGGGCGUAAAGCGUGCGCAGGCGGUUUGCUAAGACCGAUGUGAAAUCCCCGGGCUCAACCUGGGAACUGCAUUGGUGACUGGCAGGCUAGAGUAUGGCAGAGGGGGGUAGAAUUCCACGUGUAGCAGUGAAAUGCGUAGAGAUGUGGAGGAAUACCGAUGGCGAAGGCAGCCCCCUGGGCAAUACUGACGCUCAUGCACGAAA